Neogale vison (American mink) is the source of this 1159-nucleotide long non-coding RNA. RefSeq lists it as uncharacterized. The transcript has 3 exons. Lineage: Eukaryota; Metazoa; Chordata; Mammalia; Carnivora; Mustelidae. The record is from RefSeq and is a predicted model, not a curated record.
GGCGGGGCAAGUCUUAAAGAUCAAGGUCCUGAAAUACCCGAGUCCUCCCGGGCCGGGCACAGACUGGUCCCACCCACGGUUGUAAAGCCCACGUUUGUUGCUUGGCAAACACACCCAGUGGGCCCCGCAGAUGCGGCUCCUAGAGAGUUUGUGGGGACGCCUGGACCGUGGAGACUGAGCCGCACUUCCUCCGUGCGAAGGGAUGCGGCCGGAAUCCGCAGCAGAGCACGAGCGGCGAGGUUCACCGCCCUCGGCCCGCCGACCCGCAGCACUGCCCGGAGCGGCUCGGGAUGGACACCCGAGCAGGCUGGAGGGCUUUCCUCUGCCUCCGCUGCUCUGUCCUCUGCCUCCGGCGCCCUCCACGUUGGGGCAUCUCUCCGCUCCGAGGGUGCGGUGUGAUUUUGCCACGAGGCCGAGUCUACCAAGGAAGAUUUCAGCUUCAGUUCCUAAUUCAAAUACCACCGUUUCAGCGAGGCCUCCCGUGACAACCAGUUUAAAAUCGAAGCCACUUUUCCCAGCAACUCCCGAUUUCCCUUCCCUUCCUUAAGCUCUGUGAGGAGAUCUGACUUUGUGUUUAAAGACACUCCCACCUUAUCAGGCACAGCCCACUUCCCACUCUGCAAGCUGAACUACCAAGCAGCCCCUCUUCCAGCUUCCCUGACCCAUGGCUCUCGCCCUACCCUGGUUCGCUUCUGAAGUGGAAUUUUCCCUCCCUGGGCGGCCUGGUCCUUCUUGAGAUUCCUGGUGCUCCUCCAGAGUCCAUGAGUCACCCUGGAUGCUCAUAAUAACGUCCACUUAUGCUUAAAUGAGCCCAAAUUAUUCUGUUUCAUGCAACCAGGACCCCUGAAUGACAUGUUCCCUCGUCUUCCAGAAGGAGGAAAGGAAUAGCUUCCAUUAGACCUCAUAGAAGAACAAAGACCUAUCUUUCCCCAAAGCCCCAGUUAAUUUCCCUUUACAUCUUACUGGCCUAAACUGGUUCACAUGCACAAUUUAGUCACAUUGGGUAAUACCAUGUCUGCUUGACUUAGGACUGAGUAUCAGGGACACCUGGGGGGCAUAGUCAGUUAAGCAUCUUCAGGUCAUGAUCUCAAGGUCCUGCCAUCGCCCCACAUCCGUAGGGGCAUGUGGGGAGUCUGCAUCUCCCUCUGCCUGUGCCCUU